This 470-nucleotide long non-coding RNA is filed under the name Drosophila guanche. Lineage: Eukaryota; Metazoa; Arthropoda; Insecta; Diptera; Drosophilidae. The record is from RNAcentral.
GAGCUACGGAGUGGAUUGGACAGACAGAAGAGCAGACGAAAAUUUGACAAUGGCAUUGACAUCGAAAUAUCAUCGCGGUGUGGCUUUGGUUUUAUUUUUAGCCAGGGCUAAUCAAAAACUGAACGAAAGCCUCUCCGAAGCAUUAGUUACCCUUGCAGAUGGACACAAGAAGAUGGCAACAGCAGUUGGCAGUUGUCCCGUCUAUAAAUUGAAGAAUUAGCUGAAUUUGCAUUGAACAAAAGCCCAGCACUGUAUCGUUUCGGUUGUCAAGCCGCACUGGGAUAGUGGCUCAAAGGCGGAGUUGUUUAACAGUUGCUUUGCAUACAAUUGAUUCAAAGUCGACCUCAGCUCAACUCUUCGUCUGGAGUCAGCAUCUUGGCCAGUAACUGGGCGACUGGUCAAGACUUGGUCAAGAAACCGCAUUGAACUUGAGUUGAUUUUUACGAUCGUCGUUUUUGUUUCCUCUCCCA